GACGAACGCUGGCGGCGUGCUUAACACAUGCAAGUCGAGCGGAGCGGCGAACGGGUGAGUAACGCGUGAGUAACUGCCCCCCUCCCUGGGAUAACAGUUGGAAACGGCUGCUAAUACCUGAUAGUGGGGGAUGACUCGCGUCCUAUCAGCUUGUUGGUGGGGUAGUGUCCUACCAAGGCGACGACGGGUAGCCGGCCUGGGAGGGCGACCAGCCACAUUAGGCUGAGGUACGGACCAGAGGGCUACGGGGGGCAGCGGUGGGGAAUAUUGCACAAUGGGGGAAACCCUGAUGCGGCAACGCGGGGGCGGAAUGACGGCCUUCGGGUUGUAAACCGCUUUCGGCCAUGACGCGGUAGUGGCAGAAGAAGCACCGGCUAACUACGUGCCAGCAGCCGCGGUAAUAC
RNAcentral lists this ribosomal RNA (404 nucleotides) under uncultured bacterium. RNAcentral's name for it is "partial 16S ribosomal RNA". It matches the Rfam family "Bacterial small subunit ribosomal RNA", at positions 28 to 526 of the family's 1533-position model. The record is from RNAcentral.